This 59-nucleotide microRNA precursor is filed under the name Echinops telfairi (small Madagascar hedgehog). RNAcentral's name for it is "Ete-Mir-135-P1_pre stem-loop". It matches the Rfam family "mir-135 microRNA precursor family", at positions 17 to 74 of the family's 88-position model. Rfam says of the family: The hairpin precursors (represented here) are predicted based on base pairing and cross-species conservation -- their extents are not known. In this case the mature sequence is excised from the 5' arm of the hairpin. Lineage: Eukaryota; Metazoa; Chordata; Mammalia; Afrosoricida; Tenrecidae. The record is from RNAcentral.
UAUGGCUUUUCAUUCCUAUGUGAUUCUAUGGUCACUCACAUAGGGAUGGGAGCCGUGGC